RNAcentral lists this long non-coding RNA (1249 nucleotides) under Oryctolagus cuniculus (rabbit). RNAcentral describes it as "lncRNA (ENSOCUG00000032062.1)". The record is from RNAcentral. Lineage: Eukaryota; Metazoa; Chordata; Mammalia; Lagomorpha; Leporidae.
GGAUUGGCUUCAGAGCACUAAGAUAGUGAAAGAUUAGAAAAAAAAAACAAAUAAUAUUGUGGCUGAUUCUGUGAGGCAGGCUUUGUUCUCCUCUAGGAUGAAGUUCAUUUCAGAAAGCAUGCGAGGUUGUCAGCUAAGGAAGGCAAGAGAAGGAUGGCAAUGAAAGAGGAACCGCUGACUGUUUAGGUGGUGGUCACCAGUUUGCUAUCGUUGGAAGACCUCUUCCUGGAGAGCCACUUCAUGGACUCCCCAGUGCUCCUCAGCCUGCAGGAAGCUGUCCUGGACAGUAUUACAGAUGGCUGCUGUGAAGAAUCUGCCCCACCCCUUGUCACAGCUCAGGGAGUCUGCAUGACAAAAGAAUAAUUGAAUUGGUAAUGCAACAGUACAAGACAUAGAUCACCAUUUUGCAAGAGGAAUGUUUAAGUCAUGAAUAAUAAAGUGAUUUCCUCCAGAGUAAUUUAUGGCACAGGUAUAUUAGCAAAGCAAGUUCCUGCGGGUGUCAAUGCACCAUGCUACAGACUCAAGAGAAUUCAGCAAGGUCUCCCAGCUCAUCUAAAUGCCUUUCUUUGUGACUUCCACUUAAGUGUUGUGUUCUCUGCCCUCAGUGGCUCUGGGUCUUACCAUGUGACUGACAAGUUCCCUAAGAUAUCAGCCAUUGUGGAGCAAUCAAUGGCACGGAAAACACAUCCGCAUUGGAGCAUGGCCUCUAUUGUUGGAUAAGAUAAGAGCACUCUGUCACCUGAGCUUCAAGCGAUUUGAGAUAAACUCUGAGAGACACCCCAUAGAAGGAAGCCGGAAGAGUCCCAGCCCCCUGCUUCCACCCUUGCAUCUGGCUCUGCUUGGUCAGCAAAGCUUUGAUGAUGGAGUUCUUCAGCCUGUUCCUAAGUAUGAGAUUUUCUUUCUUAUUGUUUAAGAAAACAGAGUUUAGAUUUUUUUUUUUACUAUAAACUGACAAAUUGUAUUUGUACACAUUUGUGAGGAACAAAUUUAGGAAUAUGAUGCAGAAUAAUUCAACCAACUUAAUGAACACGUCUGUCAUAUUGAAUAUUAAUCAUUUUUGUGACAAGAACAUUUGUAAUUUACUUUUAACAAUCUUGAAAAACACUGUACAUUACCAUUUACUAAAGUUUGCAUUUGUUUGUCAUCCUCUAUGCUCAUUUUGGAUGGCUUCUGAUUGUAUUUUCUAAAUGCUUUAACAUUUUUUGAAAAAAAAAGAAAAUAAAUUCUAAAUGAAUUGAGGAAAAAUACA